GGUUAAGCGACUAAGCGUACACGGUGGAUGCCCUGGCAGUCAGAGGCGAUGAAGGACGUGCUAAUCUGCGAAAAGCGUCGGUAAGGUGAUAUGAACCGUUAUAACCGGCGAUGUCCGAAUGGGGAAACCCAGUGCAAUUCGUUGCACUAUCGUUAACUGAAUACAUAGGUUAACGAGGCGAACCGGGGGAACUGAAACAUCUAAGUACCCCGAGGAAAAGAAAUCAACCGAGAUUCCCCCAGUAGCGGCGAGCGAACGGGGAGCAGCCCAGAGUCUGAAUCAGCUUGUGUGUUAGUGGAACGGUCUGGAAAGUCCGACGGUACAGGGUGAUAGUCCCGUACACCAAAAUGCACAGGUUGUGAACUCGAAGAGUAGGGCGGGACACGUGGUAUCCUGUCUGAAUAUGGGGGGACCAUCCUCCAAGGCUAAAUACUCCUGACUGACCGAUAGUGAACCAGUACCGUGAGGGAAAGGCGAAAAGAACCCCGGCGAGGGG
This 496-nucleotide ribosomal RNA is filed under the name Escherichia coli. RNAcentral describes it as "partial 23S ribosomal RNA". It matches the Rfam family "Bacterial large subunit ribosomal RNA", at positions 1 to 536 of the family's 2925-position model. RNAcentral also lists the same sequence under 2 other names. Lineage: Bacteria; Pseudomonadati; Pseudomonadota; Gammaproteobacteria; Enterobacterales; Enterobacteriaceae. The record is from RNAcentral.